RNAcentral lists this transfer RNA (74 nucleotides) under candidate division Kazan bacterium RIFCSPHIGHO2_01_FULL_49_10. RNAcentral describes it as "tRNA-Gln". It matches the Rfam family "tRNA". From Rfam's summary of the family: Transfer RNA (tRNA) molecules are approximately 80 nucleotides in length. Their secondary structure includes four short double-helical elements and three loops (D, anti-codon, and T loops). Further hydrogen bonds mediate the characteristic L-shaped molecular structure. tRNAs have two regions of fundamental functional importance: the anti-codon, which is responsible for specific mRNA codon recognition, and the 3' end, to which the tRNAs corresponding amino acid is attached (by aminoacyl-tRNA synthetases). tRNAs cope with the degeneracy of the genetic code in two manners: having more than one tRNA (with a specific anti-codon) for a particular amino acid; and 'wobble' base-pairing, i.e. permitting non-standard base-pairing at the 3rd anti-codon position. RNAcentral also lists the same sequence under 1 other name. The record is from RNAcentral.
UGGGGCGUAGCCAAGCGGCAAGGCAAUGGGUUCUGGUCCCAUGAUCCUAGGUUCGAAUCCUAGCGCCCCAGCCA